UCUUGCUCAAACCUCAUAAGAAAAAAGCUUAAAAAGUCACCACGUGAGGUAAAAAGCUUUUUGCUGUCAAACAGCUGUUUUAAUAAAAAUAAGCAAACAAAAAUUGACACACAAAUGGAUAAUCAGCAUAUGCAUACAAAAACGGAAAGAACAACUCAGGAGUGGCUGCAACAUUUCAUAAUGUUUUGCAAGCAGCAUCCUGAGUUGCAACGGGGGAAGCUAACUCCGACAAACCCUCAAGGGCUGCAAAUACUUUGGUCGGAGUUAGCAGAUAAUUUAAAUGCCUUAAGAGGUCCACCUCGGUCGGCAGCUAAGUGGAGGGAGGUAAGUUGUUCAUAAAUCAUAAAAAAUGAAAUAAAAAUGUAAAAAAGUAAAAAA
Molecule: long non-coding RNA, 378 nt
Organism: Bactrocera dorsalis (oriental fruit fly)
Lineage: Eukaryota; Metazoa; Arthropoda; Insecta; Diptera; Tephritidae
Exons: 2
Source: RefSeq, a predicted model, not a curated record